AUUGAAUGCUGGUGGCAGGCCUAACACAUGCAAGUCGAGCGGAUGAAGGGAGCUUGCUCCUGGAUUCAGCGGCGGACGGGUGAGUAAUGCCUAGGAAUCUGCCUGGCAGUGGGGGAUAACGUCCGGAAACGGGCGCUAAUACCGCAUACGUCCUGAGGGAGAAAGUGGGGGAUCUUCGGACCUCACGCUAUCAGAUGAGCCUAGGUCGGAUUAGCUAGUUGGUGGGGUAAAGGCCUACCAAGGCGACGAUCCGUAACUGGUCUGAGAGGAUGAUCAGUCACACUGGAACUGAGACACGGUCCAGACUCCUACGGGAGGCAGCAGUGGGGAAUAUUGGACAAAGGGCGAAAGCCUGAUCCAGCCAUGCCGCGUGUGUGAAGAAGGUCUUCGGGUUGUAAAGCACUUUUAGUUGGGAGGAAGGGCAGUAAGUUAAUACCUUGCUGUUUUGACGUUACCCACAGAAUAAGCACCGGCUAACUUCGUG
Molecule: ribosomal RNA, 484 nt
Filed under: uncultured bacterium
Lineage: Bacteria
Description: partial 16S ribosomal RNA
Rfam family: Bacterial small subunit ribosomal RNA
Source: RNAcentral